UGGGGAAUAUUGCACAAUGGGCGCAAGCCUGAUGCAGCCAUGCCGCGUGUGUGAAGAAGGCCUUCGGGUUGUAAAGCACUUUCAGCGAGGAGGAAGGUGGUGAGCUUAAUACGCUCAUCAAUUGACGUUACUCGCAGAAGAAGCACCGGCUAACUCCGUGCCAGCAGCCGCGGUAAUACGGAGGGUGCAAGCGUUAAUCGGAAUUACUGGGCGUAAAGCGCACGCAGGCGGUUUGUUAAGUCAGAUGUGAAAUCCCCGGGCUCAACCUGGGAACUGCAUUUGAAACUGGCAAGCUAGAGUCUCGUAGAGGGGGUAGAAUUCCAGGUGUAGCGGUGAAAUGCGUAGAGAUCUGGAGGAAUACCGGUGGCGAAGGCGGCCCCCUGGACGAAGACUGACGCUCAGGUGCGAAAGCGUGGGGCAGCAAACAGGAUUAGAUACCCUGGUAGUCACGCUGUAAACGAUGUCGAUUUUGGAGGUUGUGCCCUUGAGGCGUGGCUUCCGGAGCUAACGCGUUAAAUCGACCGCCUGGGGAGUACGGCC
RNAcentral lists this ribosomal RNA (540 nucleotides) under uncultured bacterium. RNAcentral describes it as "partial 16S ribosomal RNA". It matches the Rfam family "Bacterial small subunit ribosomal RNA", at positions 355 to 887 of the family's 1533-position model. The record is from RNAcentral.